UACGAAGGGGGGCUAGCGUUGUUCGGAAUUACUGGGCGUAAAGCGCACGUAGGCGGAUUGUUAAGUUAGGGGUGAAAUCCCAGGGCUCAACCCUGGAACUGCCUUUAAUACUGGCAAUCUCGAGUCCGAGAGAGGUGAGUGGAAUUCCGAGUGUAGAGGUGAAAUUCGUAGAUAUUCGGAGGAACACCAGUGGCGAAGGCGGCUCACUGGCUCGGUACUGACGCUGAGGUGCGAAAGCGUGGGGAGCAAAGCAGGGAUUAAGAUACCCCUGG
RNAcentral lists this ribosomal RNA (272 nucleotides) under uncultured bacterium. RNAcentral describes it as "partial 16S ribosomal RNA". It matches the Rfam family "Bacterial small subunit ribosomal RNA", at positions 524 to 791 of the family's 1533-position model. The record is from RNAcentral.